Molecule: unclassified non-coding RNA, 221 nt
Filed under: Hevea brasiliensis (rubber tree)
Lineage: Eukaryota; Viridiplantae; Streptophyta; Magnoliopsida; Malpighiales; Euphorbiaceae
Source: RNAcentral
GUUCUUAUAACAACUUACAAACCAAAUGUGGAAGAAGAAAAAAAAGAAAAAACCUUGAGAGAAACCAUCAAUUCAUUAAUCAACAUUGGUGAAUUUGAGUUUGUGAUCAUGCUUUCACACAACAGUUGAAGUAGCUCAAUAUGCUCUUCCUUGUCGUUGGGGAGUUGCUGUUGGUGGGAUUCAGUUGAUGAUUUUCAUCAGCAUGAGAAUGAGGUGUGUUU